CCCUUAGAUGUUCUGGGCUGCACGCGCACUACACUGACGCACGCAACAGGUGCCUGCUCCGAGAGGACUGGGUAAUCAUUUGAGUGUGCGUCGUGAUGGGGAUAGAAUAUUGUAAUUAUUACUCUUCAACGAGGAAUUCCUAGUAAGCGCCAGUCAGCAGCUUGCGCUGAUUACGUCCCUGCCCUUUGUACACACCGCCCGUCGCUCCUACCGAUGGGUGAUCCGGUGAAUGAUUCGGACUUCAGCGGCUCCCCUGGGGUGCGCCGGAGAAAGUUUUGUGAACCUUAUCACUUGGAGGAAGGAGAAGUCGUAACA
RNAcentral lists this ribosomal RNA (315 nucleotides) under uncultured eukaryote. RNAcentral's name for it is "partial 18S ribosomal RNA". It matches the Rfam family "Eukaryotic small subunit ribosomal RNA", at positions 1470 to 1796 of the family's 1831-position model. The record is from RNAcentral.